AGCAGUCGCCGCGGGAAUACAGAGGGUGCGAGCGUUAAUCGGAUUUACUGGGCGUAAAGCGUGCGUAGGCGGCUUCUUAAGUCGGAUGUGAAAUCCCUGAGCUUAACUUAGGAAUUGCAUUCGAUACUGGGAAGCUAGAGUAUGGGAGAGGAUGGUAGAAUUCCAGGUGUAGCGGUGAAAUGUGUAGAGAUCUGGAGGAAUACCGAUGGCGAAGGCAGCCAUCUGGCCUAAUACUGACGCUGAGGUACGAAAGCAUGGGGAGCAAACAGGAUUAGAUACCCGUGUAGUCCCUGUCUCUUAUAC
This 303-nucleotide ribosomal RNA is filed under the name uncultured bacterium. RNAcentral's name for it is "partial 16S ribosomal RNA". It matches the Rfam family "Bacterial small subunit ribosomal RNA", at positions 507 to 807 of the family's 1533-position model. The record is from RNAcentral.